This 667-nucleotide ribosomal RNA is filed under the name uncultured bacterium. Its description in RNAcentral is "bacterial SSU rRNA". It matches the Rfam family "Bacterial small subunit ribosomal RNA", at positions 9 to 687 of the family's 1533-position model. The record is from RNAcentral.
GAGUUUGAUCCUGGCUCAGGACGAACGCUGGCGGCGUGCUUAACACAUGCAAGUCGAACGAUGAAGCUGGAGCUUGCUCCGGUGGAUUAGUGGCGAACGGGUGAGUAACACGUGAGCAAUCUGCCCUUGACUCUGGGAUAACUGCGGGAAACUGUAGCUAAUACCGGAUACUUUCCUCGGUGGGCAUCCACUGGGGAAGAAAGAAUUUCGGUCAAGGAUGAGCUCGCGGCCUAUCAGCUAGUUGGUGAGGUAAUGGCUCACCAAGGCGACGACGGGUAGCCGGCCUGAGAGGGUGACCGGCCACACUGGGACUGAGACACGGCCCAGACUCCUACGGGAGGCAGCAGUGGGGAAUAUUGCACAAUGGACGCAAGUCUGAUGCAGCAACGCCGCGUGAGGGACGAAGGCCUUCGGGUUGUAAACCUCUUUUAGCAGGGAAGAAGCGAAAGUGACGGUACCUGCAGAAAAAGCACCGGCUAACUACGUGCCAGCAGCCGCGGUAAUACGUAGGGUGCAAGCGUUGUCCGGAAUUAUUGGGCGUAAAGAGCUCGUAGGCGGUUUGUCACGUCUGCUGUGAAAUUUCGAGGCUCAACCUCGAACUUGCAGUGGGUACGGGCAGGCUAGAGUGCAGUAGGGGAGAUGGGAAUUCCUGGUGUAGCGGUGGAAU